CAUCUGCCUCCCGACUGCUGGGAUUAAAG
RNAcentral lists this non-coding RNA (29 nucleotides) under Cricetulus griseus (Chinese hamster). Lineage: Eukaryota; Metazoa; Chordata; Mammalia; Rodentia; Cricetidae. The record is from RNAcentral.